RNAcentral lists this ribosomal RNA (471 nucleotides) under uncultured bacterium. Its description in RNAcentral is "bacterial SSU rRNA". It matches the Rfam family "Bacterial small subunit ribosomal RNA", at positions 335 to 802 of the family's 1533-position model. The record is from RNAcentral.
ACUCCUACGGGAGGCAGCAGUGGGGAAUAUUGCACAAUGGGGGAAACCCUGAUGCAGCCAUGCCGCGUGUGUGAAGAAGGCCAUCGGGGUUGUAAAGCACUUUCAGUAGGGAGGAAGGUAGUGUAGUUAACACCUGCAUUAUUUGACGUUACCUACAGAAGAAGCACCGGCUAACUCCGUGCCAGCAGCCGCGGUAAUACGGAGGGUGCGAGCGUUAAUCGGAAUUACUGGGCGUAAAGCGCAUGCAGGCGGCCUGUUAAGUCAGAUGUGAAAGCCCGGGGCUUAACCUCGGAAUUGCAUUUGAAACUGGCAGGCUAGAGUCUUGUAGAGGGGUUAGAAUUUCAGGUGUAGCGGUGAAAUGCGUAGAGAUCUGAAGGAAUACCAGUGGCGAAGGCGGCCCCUGGACAAGACUGACGCUCAGAUGCGAAAGCGUGGGAGCAAACAGGAUUAGAUACCCCUGGUAGACUGUCA